GGUGAACGCUGGCGGCGUGCCUAACACAUGCAAGUCGAGCGGUGCAGUUUGAAGCUUCGGUGGAAAGCUGCAUAGCGGCGGACGGGUGAGGAAAACGUAGGAACGUGCCCCUUGGAGUUGGAUAGCCACGGGAAACUGUGGGUAAACCGACAUAGACUCGAGAGAGUAAAGGCCGAAAGGCGCCAAGGGAGCGGCCUGCGGCCCAUCAGGUAGUUGGUAGUGUAAAGGACUACCAAGCCGACGACGGGUAGCCGGUCUGAGAGGAUGGCCGGCCACAAGGGCACUGAGAGACGGGCCCUACUCCUACGGGAGGCAGCAGUGGGGGAUUUUGGACAAUGGGCGAAAGCCUGAUCCAGCGACGCCGCGUGGAGGACGAAGGCCGAAAGGUUGUAAAGUUCUUUUGCUAGGGGAGAAUAAGUGAGGGAGGGAAUGCCCUCAUGAUGACAAGGACUAGCGAAUAAGCCCCGGCCAACUACGUG
Molecule: ribosomal RNA, 479 nt
Filed under: uncultured bacterium
Lineage: Bacteria
Description: bacterial SSU rRNA
Rfam family: Bacterial small subunit ribosomal RNA
Source: RNAcentral